Molecule: long non-coding RNA, 610 nt
Organism: Vicia villosa (hairy vetch)
Lineage: Eukaryota; Viridiplantae; Streptophyta; Magnoliopsida; Fabales; Fabaceae
Exons: 3
Source: RefSeq, a predicted model, not a curated record
UAUAUUAUAGAGUGAUCAAAUAAUCUUUCUAACUUAUACAUGCAAAUGAAGAAAAAAAAUGACUAAAAUAAUCAAGCUUGCGUAUAUUAUUAUGAUCCUAUUUCUUUCCCCAAUUCUUGUUGUAGCUGAAUUAGCUCCAUUUCAUUUGUGCAAACAUGACAUGGAUUGUCUAUGGCAAAACUGUUCUCCGGGUAAAGUUGGAGUGUGCAUUUACAGAUUGUGUUACUGCAAUAACAGUUAUUUUCCCGAUGAUCGUUGAAAUAAAUUGAUUAAGCUUCGCAUGUGAGAGCGGAGUACUGGCUUGUGCAUAGCUUUAUGUUUUAAGUUUAUUAGUAUUUUUAGCUUUUUAGAUCUUUGAUUAUUAUUUUGUAGAUUCUUGAGGUCAAAAACAUAUUGUCUAUAAAAUAAAAUGUGACAAGGCAACAUGUAUUGAAUUUUAAUUUCAGUGAGAAUUUCUAAGAUAUAUGCUUACAUAAAGUUGUUUCCUUGAAUAUCACUAGUUUAGGAGAAUCCUUGUUAUUAUUUAAUUAAAUUUUUUUAUCCCAAUUGUAACUUUAAUGAGUUUUGUAAGACUCGCCUUUAUUACGUGUAGAAAGUUGUUGUUGGUUUG